AACGAACGCUGGCGGCAGGCCUAACACAUGCAAGUCGAGCGAGGACUUCGGUCCUAGCGGCGGACGGGUGAGUAACACGUGGGAACGUGCCCUUUGCUUCGGAAUAGCCCUGGGAAACUGGGAGUAAUACCGGAUGAGCCCUUUGGGGGAAAGAUUUAUCGGCGAAGGAUCGGCCCGCGUUGGAUUAGGUAGUUGGUGGGGUAAUGGCCUACCAAGCCGACGAUCCAUAGCUGGUUUGAGAGGAUGAUCAGCCACACUGGGACUGAGACACGGCCCAGACUCCUACGGGAGGCAGCAGUGGGGAAUCUUAGACAAUGGGGGAAACCCUGAUCUAGCCAUGCCGCGUGAGCGAUGAAGGCCUUAGGGUUGUAAAGCUCUUUCAGCUGGGAAGAUAAUGACGGUACCAGCAGAAGAAGCCCCGGCUAACUCCGUG
Molecule: ribosomal RNA, 433 nt
Filed under: uncultured bacterium
Lineage: Bacteria
Description: partial 16S ribosomal RNA
Rfam family: Bacterial small subunit ribosomal RNA
Source: RNAcentral